UACGUAGGCAGCGAGCGUUGUUCGGAGUUACUGGGCGUAAAGCGUGCGUAGGCGGUUUUCUAAGUCUGGUGUGAAAUCUCCCGGCUUAACUGGGAGGGUGCGCCGGAUACUGGAAGGCUUGGAGUGCGGGAGAGGUAGGCGGAAUUCCUGGUGUAGCGGUGAAAUGCGUAGAUAUCAGGAGGAACACCGGCGGUGUAGACGGCUUACUGGACCGUGACUGACGCUGAGGCACGAAAGCGUGGGGAGCAAACAGG
Molecule: ribosomal RNA, 254 nt
Filed under: uncultured bacterium
Lineage: Bacteria
Description: partial 16S ribosomal RNA
Rfam family: Bacterial small subunit ribosomal RNA
Source: RNAcentral